UUUAUMGUGUACGCGAGUCUUAGGGUUAUUAAUACCUUAUAGGCGUAAUGAAAGUAAAAGAAAUUUUUCUUUCUGAAGGAGGAUGAGUGGUUUGUUUUAACUAACGCUACUUCGCACUCCUGGGGCGCUUCUUACUCAAUAUGAGUUAAGGCGCACCUAGAGCGUACACAAUAAUACCCGAAAGAUGGUGAACUAUGCCUGGCCAGGACGAAGCCAGGGGAAACCCUGGUGGAGGUCCGAAGCGAUUCUGACGUGCAAAUCGAUCGUCGGAGCUGGGUAUAGGGGCGAAAGACCAAUCGAACCAUUUAGUAGCUGGUUCCCUCUGAAGUUUCCCUCAGGAUAGCUAACGCUUCCGUAUAAAGACGAGUCUCAUCCGGUAGAGCGAAUGAUUAGAGGUAUUGGGGUCGAAACGGCCUCAACCUAUUCUCAAACUCCAAAUAGAUGAGAACCUCGGCUUGCUUAAAAGUGAAGCCGUGGGAGUCUUUAAAUGGAUCAGAGUGUUAAGUGGGCCAUUUUUGGUAAG
This 523-nucleotide ribosomal RNA is filed under the name Phymatinae sp. 00004817. RNAcentral describes it as "eukaryotic LSU rRNA". It matches the Rfam family "Eukaryotic large subunit ribosomal RNA", at positions 674 to 1144 of the family's 3401-position model. Lineage: Eukaryota; Metazoa; Arthropoda; Insecta; Hemiptera; Phymatidae. The record is from RNAcentral.